RNA transcript from Labrus mixtus (cuckoo wrasse), 906 nucleotides. It is a transcript of the gene named cellular retinoic acid-binding protein 1, with no coding region annotated. The record is from RefSeq and is a predicted model, not a curated record. NCBI's taxonomy places the organism in Eukaryota, Metazoa, Chordata, Actinopteri, Labriformes, Labridae. The transcript is spliced from 5 exons.
GUCAAAGGCAGUGAAAGAGUCUGAAGAAAAGAAGCGCAAGAGACGGACGAGCAGAAGCCUGACACACGUUCAAAACCACACAAGAAAAAUGCCCAACUUUGAAGGCACCUGGAAAAUGAAAGACAGCCAGAAUUUUGAGGAGCUGCUCAAAGCCCUGGGUGUGAACGCCAUGCUGAGGAAGGUAGCAGUGGCGGCUGCGUCCAAACCCCAUGUGGAGAUAAAGCAGAACGGAGAGAACUUCUACAUCAAGACCUCCACCACAGUGCGCACCACAGAGAUCAAUUUCAUCAUCGGAGAGGAAUUUAACGAGGAGACAGUGGACGGGAGGAAGUGUAAGAGCUUGGCCACUUGGGAAACAGAAAACAAGAUUUACUGCAAACAGACUUUGGUCAGCGGGAAUGGCCCCAAGACCUUCUGGAGCCGAGAACUCAAAGGAGACGAACUCAUACUGAUCUUUGGAGCCAAUGAUGUGGUCUGUACCAGGAUUUAUGUACGAGUGUAGCAGACGUCCAGGUCCUUCGGAGCUCAAGUUUCCUUCAUGAAAAAAACUCUUUCAGUGUCUAACUGACGGGGUUUUGGAAAAGUAGAAAAGACAAAGAUGAGGUCUCAGCAGAAGACUCCCCUCGUUUAUAUGUGACCACGAUGUAAAGCUUCAUGUGUUUAACAAACAAAAUGUAAGAAAUGAAAAAAGAAGGUGGCCAACUGAGUUUCAGUCUAUUCCAAGGAUAUUUUAAUGCCAAAUACCAUACUAACACUCAUGAACAACAUCAUAAAAGUCAAGAGAAGAGACAAAUAAAACGAGGUACAAACAAUGUUUUUCUAUGUACAACCAGCUCUGCAGGACUUCCUGUGUUGUUCUGUAUUAAACAGGAAAUAGAAAAAUAAAAACCCAGGACAUACACUGUU